GACGAACCGUGCGAACGUUAUUCGGAAUCACUGGGCUUAAAGCGCGUGUAGGCGGAUGGGUACGUCGGUAACUGAAAGCCCCCGGCUCAACCGGGGAAGGGGUGCCGAAACGACCUGUCUGGAGGGACGUAGGGGGACCUGGAACUUCCGGUGGAGCGGUGAAAUGCGUUGAGAUCGGAAGGAACGCCCGUGGCGAAAGCGAGGUCCUGGACGUCUGCUGACGCUGAGACGCGAAAGCUAGGGGAGCAAACGGG
Molecule: ribosomal RNA, 254 nt
Filed under: uncultured bacterium
Lineage: Bacteria
Description: partial 16S ribosomal RNA
Rfam family: Bacterial small subunit ribosomal RNA
Source: RNAcentral